RNAcentral lists this ribosomal RNA (293 nucleotides) under uncultured bacterium. Its description in RNAcentral is "partial 16S ribosomal RNA". The record is from RNAcentral.
GGACUACACGGGUUUCUAAUCCCGUUUGCUACCCACGCUUUCGUGCCUUAGUGUCAGGAACGAGCCAGUUAUCUGCCUACGCCAUCGGUGUUCCUCCUAAUAUCUACGGAUUUCACUCCUACACUAGGAAUUCCAAUAACCUCUCUCGUCCUCUAGCUUGGCAGUUUCCAUAAUGUGUAAGGGGUUGAGCCCCAGGCUUUCACUACAGACUUACCAUGCCACCUACGCAACUCUUUACGCCCAGUAAUUCCGGAUAACGCUUGGAUCCUCCGUAUUACCGCGGCUGCUGGCAC